CUCAGGAUGAACGCUAGCUACAGGCUUAACACAUGCAAGUCGAGGGGCAGCAUUGGAGUAGCAAUACUCAGAUGGCGACCGGCGCACGGGUGAGUAACACGUAUCCAACCUGCCGCUUACUCGGGGAUAGCCUUUCGAAAGAAAGAUUAAUACCCGAUGGUAUAAAGAGUUCGCAUGUUCUCUUUAUUAAAGAAUUUCGGUAAGCGAUGGGGAUGCGUUCCAUUAGAUUGUUGGCGGGGUAACGGCCCACCAAGUCUACGAUGGAUAGGGGUUCUGAGAGGAAGGUCCCCCACAUUGGAACUGAGACACGGUCCAAACUCCUACGGGAGGCAGCAGUGAGGAAUAUUGGUCAAUGGACGAGAGUCUGAACCAGCCAAGUAGCGUUAGGAAGGAUGACUGCCCUAUGGGUUGUAAACUUCUUUUAGUAAGGGAAUAAAGUGAGGGACGUGUCCCUUUUUGUAUGUACCUUAUGAAUAAGGAUCGGCUAACUCCGUGCCAGCAGCUGC
Molecule: ribosomal RNA, 506 nt
Filed under: uncultured bacterium
Lineage: Bacteria
Description: bacterial SSU rRNA
Rfam family: Bacterial small subunit ribosomal RNA
Source: RNAcentral